AAUGACUACAAACAAGAGAUUCCUCUAAAAGUUAUAAUAAUUGUAACCGUUGGAUUCAACGGCCCUCAUGCGCUGGUCAGCAGACUCCUGAGCUUGUGCUUAGGAGAGGAUCCAAUUCCUACAUUGUGGGAGAAUUCUAUUUUGCCCCCGCAAUUUGUGGUACCCACCCCCCCAACUUUUUUUCUUCUUCAAGUGUCACAACCCGUCCAAAAAAAUUCGGUUAUCGUGGGUGUGAAAUGACAGAAUUGCCCUUAGCGGUUGCUAAGGUAUGUGUGACAUAUUAUUUGAAUAGUGCAUACUUUUCUAAGUUUUGGAAAUUUAAUUGGAUUAAAAUUGUAUGCAUUAUUUUUAUGUGGUUAGGGACUUAGGUGGACCAUAUACCCUCACCAUCAGACUCCUCUCUUUUUCCUAUCCCGUGCUCUUUCUCUUCCCUCUCAGUUUCUCUCUCUCUUUCUCUCUCUCUCGAACCGUACGGACAAGAACCCAAAAUCCCUCAAAACAUCACGGAUCGACGCCAAUAAGGUAAGUUUCUUCAUCCUUGCAACCUCCUGAGUUGAAUGGUACCAUUUUUGGAACUUAGAACCUUCGAAAUCACGUGAAAUCCGAACCCCAGUUUGAUGUCAUUGUUCAUGCACACGUGAAUUGUUGACUUUCAGGGAAUUCUAAGCUUACAGGGAGCUUAGUGAGGUCCCAAGGAAGCUUAGAGUGUUUAGUUUGAAGGUUUUGGACGUCGGGAUCGUCGGGUUUGAAGUUGGCCGGUUUUCUUGGAAUUUCUUUGAUGAGAUUUCGUAUGUUUUUUAACCUUAAACUAGUACAACGUGAUUCUUCAUGCUUAUGGCUUCAUUUUGAUAUAAAAUGCGUGAAAAAUGGUUGAGAAAUGACGGAGAACAAGGAGAUUGAAAAAUCUCCAGUUUUCUGGCGAUUGGAGGAAGAAGGUGACGCGCGUGGGGGCGCGUGGGUCCGUGCCCCUCCCGGCGCGUGCGGCCUCGAAAAUUUUUCAAAAAAUACCUCGACGUCCGUGACGUCGAGUAGGUCACUGUAGUAUAUUCAUAUACCCAAAUUAAGCAUCAUAUGAGAAGUUAUUUCAAAUUGUCGGUUAUGUGCUUUAAUUAACGUUUUUAUAGUUGUUUCGCAUAUAGGUGAUACCUAUCCCGAGGACGAGCGCAUUCAACGACGUCACGAGGGUUACGACCCUUUGACUUACCAGUAAGUGGGCAGUAUUUUCUGUAUUACGUAUAUAUUAUUGAUUUUUCCUAGAAAUUGAAUUUAAAUGAAAGUGUGUUUUGAAAUGCCAUGCAUGCAUAUUAUGAAUUAUAUGAAUUGAUAAUUGAUGCAUAUAUAUGUGAAAUGGUGUUGUGGACGCACAUGUGAGUAUCAGGUGAGUUUUAUGUUAUUCAUGUGAACUAUUAAUGAUGUGAAUUGUGUUGAAAGCUCAUAACCUACACCCCUGGUGUUAGUGCUUAUAUUAUUCACCCUGCACCGCACGUUCACCUUGGAUCCAAGUAGGUGCAUGUCGUACAGACCAUUAGAGGGUUCCGACAUGUCGUACAGACCAUGACAGGUGGUUCCGACUUGUAGGUGAUUUUAGAUUAUUAUACAGCUGUUGAUGAGAGAAGCAUUAAAGCGUAUUCUUACACAUUUCUUAUCGUACAGACUACUUUAGGUAGUUCCAAUUUAUGUGCAGAGUAGCGCCGUGCAGGUCACUGCGGGGAUUCCGGUUAGAGUGGAUAUUGAGCUUUAGAGUUAACCGUACAUGACCAACUGCAAGGUCUCCGGUUGAUUCAUUAUUUCACCUGUUAUAUUGAUGCAUCCUUAUUCUGUUAUUGACAUUUAUAGCAUGGCAUACUUUCUGGUUUUUGAUAAAGAUUGGUGAUUUGAGAUAUAUGAAGAUUUAUAUGUAUAUUAUGUUAUUUUCUGGGAAAGUAUACAUGUUUUAUAGCGAGGGGUUAGAAAUGUUAUUAAUUAAAAUGUUUUCAAAAAUCUUUAUUUUACUGACCCACUCAAUUUUGUUUUGCGCCCAUCCAGGUUCUAGUUAGCAGCGUUGGUGGCCCACGAGGAUUCCCACAGCGUACUGACAGACUACAUAAAUGUAUGACUCACAUUCGGGUGUUGUAAUUUAGUUAUGGUCCUACUUAACUGCUGUAGAUAUCGAAAUUUUGGUAAAUAAAUGUUGACCGAUAAAUCAAAAUUUCAACAUUCACGUGUCACAUAAAUUUUACAUGUAGAGUGUGACUCAACGAAAAAAUCGAAAAAAGUCGAAAAAGUCAUCAAACAGGACACGUGUCAACACCUGGCAGAAACGAUUUAUUUCAUCUGCAUAUUAUAUUCAAAAUUAGGCCUUGGAAAAUUCUAUAAAUAGAAGCCAUUUCAUUCAUUUUUGGAAAAAUGGAUAACCAAUUCAUAACCCAUUCACCUCACACCAAAACCUUGAAGCUUUGAAACUCCAAAGCUCCCAAGCAAAUCCCGAAGGAUCAAGAAAGCUCUCUUCGUUCUUCGUCAACCCAACCUUCAAGAUCAAGCCCCAACGGCCCUUUGAAGGAACUUCCAUCAAUUCAAGAUCAAACCCCGACGGCCCUUGAAGAAAGCGUUCAUCGUUCAUCAUCCGUUCAUCCUAAGAUCAAGCCCCAACGACCCUUUGGAUCAACAACAUCAACAAAUCCACACAUCCAACCGUUCUUCAAGAUAAAGUCCAAAAGCCUUUGAAGAUCCAUUCAACAACUGUUCAUCAAGAUCAAGCCCCAAAGGCCCUUGAAGAUCCGUUCAUCAACAGUUCUUCAAGAUCAAGCCCAAAAGCCCUUGAAGAUCUAUCUAUCAACUGUUCAUCAAGAUCAAGCCUCAAAAGCCCUUAAAGAUCCGUUCAUCACCGUCAUUUAAGAUCAAACAUCAACGGCCCUUGAAGAAACUUUCAACCGUUCAUCCAACAAGCCUCAACGGCCCUUAGAGAAACUUUCAACCGUUCAUCCAAGAUCAAGCCUCAAGGGCCCUUAGAUCAAUCGCACAUCCACAAAUACACACCUUACGGAGAUCGAAUCAGAUGAUCAAAUUUGAGAGAGAUUGUAACCCAAAAUCAUCAAAUACAAAAUAUUAUUUUGUACACGUGUUCUUGUCUCGUUUGUUUCAGGAAAAUUUCGUGUUUACAACUGCACCUAGUACUUAUGCUCUGAAUAUGUGUGUUUCACACUUAAAUUCACUUUAGCAUGCCAGUUAGAUAUUAUUGCUAGUAUUUGGUUUUUAUUUCUUCGUAAUUCUCUUACCUAUUGCUUCCGCGUCGCACUUUCGGUUACGUCACAUUCACGUGACGGCCAGCAUGCCUUGAUUCUAGGAUCGGGGUGUGUCAGUUUGGUAUCAGAGCCUAGGUUUGCAGUCAUGUAUAAAUUGUUAAUGCUCUAAUGAUCUUUUGAAUUCUUCUGUCAGAACUAUGCCGCCUCAUAGGGAAUCACGUCGUGCUUCUGAGCCUAAUUUCCCUAAUAUAACUCAAUUAGGGGAAGCGAUGGCCCAUGCUUUUCAGAAUGCAAUCCGUCCUCCUCCUCUUUAGAGAACACCCCUGAAGACUAUGUAUAAUCUAAAAUUGGAUCGUUUCAUGGGUAAUGAGGGUCAUGAAGGGGCAGAAAAUUGGUUAGACCAUAUUGAGAAGACUUUUUAGGUGAUGCAGAGUCGAGGGAAUCUUCCUGCUAAUAGAUGGGUUGAGACCACUACUUGGUUUUUAGGAUGAGAGCCAGCAGCUUGGUGGGUAAAUCAGACUCAGUUUAUGUCACCUGAAAUGGCAGCUGAUUGAGAAGUAUUCAAAGAGAAUUUUAAGAAAAUAUUUGUUCCUCCGGAGUACAUUGAUCGUAAGAAGCAGGAGUUCACUCAAUUGAAGCAAAAGAAUAUGUCGGCGCAUGAGUAUUACAGGAAAUUUACAGACUUAUCUCGUUAUGAUCCUGAUACAGCUGGUAAUCAGGCAGAGAUGCUUCGCCGUUUUAAGUUGGGAACUAAGAGGAAAUGGCAGACUUUUGCUAGUACGCUUCCUUGCACCACUUAUCAUGAGUUUUCUGAGAUUUUGGUUCGGAUGGAGGAUUCCGACAACCUUCCUAGUAAUAGUGAGGAUGAUGAAGAUAAGAAUGAUAAUCAGAAGAAAUAUGAUAGGGGUAAAGGUAUUUCCACUCAAGGACCCCGUAAGACACAGAAUUUCAAGAAAAGUGGAGCGAGCUCGAGUUCUUCCAGCGGAGGAUUUAGUGUCACAGGCCCGAUGAGAGGUGGAAGAUUUGCUGGUAGACCCAGGUUUCAGAGACAGAGAGGCUUUGGUGGUGCUGGUGGUUCUGGUGCUCCGUUGUGCCGCCGUUGUAAUUUCAGACAUCAUGGGGAGUGUAGGAGAAGUGGUGGUGCUUGCUACACUUGUGGACAGUUGGGACAUAGGGCUGCUCAGUGUUCCCAGAGUCAGUAGAGAUCUCAGCAGUCUGCUAUGCCACUUCCAGCGUUGAUUCAGCAGAACUUUGGAUCAGGCAGUUAUGGUUAGACGGGUUGUGGUGGUGCUUACCACUAUCAGGGUGAUGCUGCUCCUUAUGCUUCAGGACAUAAUCAGUAUUUCCAGGAUCCUUAUCUUCAGACUGGGUAUUCCCAAGAUCCUGGAGGCUAUAUUUCAUAUCCUUCCAUACCAGCUAGCGGAUCUCAGUGGUAUCAGGGAGGUCAGCCCCGACAGGGAGAGGUUGCUGCUAGCGGUGCAGGACCAUCUAGGCAGUCUAAUUAGCCAGGACAGGGACGUACUUCUCAGGGGUGAGGUAACCAAGGUAACAGAGGUCGUGGUGGACGACAGCAAGCUCAGGGACAUGUUAAUCACAUAUCACUGCAAGAUGCUCAUAACCAUCCAGAUUUGAUUAUGGGUACGUUAAAUGUUCUUGGUCAUUUUGCUAGAGUUUUGAUUGAUUGUGGUGCCACACAUUCUGUGAUUUCUCAUACGUUUGCUCAAAUGACUCAAUCUCACCCUACACCUCUAGGAUUUGAUUUAGAGUUUGCUAUGCCUAGAGGGGACAAAUGUUAUGUUGAUAGUGUUUAUCCAGGGUGUCCAGUGAUGGUAGAUGGUGUAGUUAUGCCAGCUAAUCUUAUCCCGUUAGAUAUUGUGGAUUUUGAUGUGAUUUUAAGGGCGGAUUGGUUGCAUUUUAAUCGUGCCCAUAUAGAUUGUUACGGGAAAUCAGUUACUUUUCAUCGUCUUGGACUACCAGCGGUUACUUUUAUGGGUGAAAAAAGUGGGGCGAGACAUGGUGUUAUUUCUGCCAUGAGAGCAAGGAAGUUGUUAUCGAAAGGUUGUCAAGGAUACUUAGCACAUGUGGUGUUAAAUGAUGUUGUUCCUAGCAGUGUGGAGGAAGUUAGGGUAGUCAGGCACUAUCCUGAUGUAUUCCCAGAUGAUUUGCCUGGAUUACCGCCAGAUAGAGAUGUGAAGUUUUCUAUUGAUUUGCUUCCAGGUACGUAUUCUAUAUCUUUGACUCUAUAUAGAAUGGCUCCAGCUGAAUUGAGAGAGUUGAAAAUUCAGUUACAGGAAUUAACUGAUAAAGGUUUCAUUCAACCUAGUACUUCACCUUGGGGAGCGUCGGUGCUAUUUGUAAGAAAGAAAGAUGGAACUUUGAGAUUAUGUAUUGAUUACAGGCAAUUGAAUCGGGUAACGAUUAAAAACCGCUAUCUAUUACCUCAUAUCGAUGAUUUAUUUGAUCAACUCAAAGGUGCGUGUGUGUUCUCUAAGAUUGAUUUGAGAUUUGGCUAUUAUUAGUUGAAAAUUAAAGAUGAAGAUGUACUUAAAAUGACUUUCAGGACCCGUUACGGACAUUAUGAGUUUUUGGUGAUGCCAUUUGGAUUGACUAAUGCACCUGCAGCUUUCAUGAGGCUAAUGAAUGAAGUAUUCCAGCAAUAUCUUGAUAUGUUUGUCAUUGUUUUUAUCGAUGAUAUUCUGGUAUACUCUAAGUCUAAAGCAGAUCAUAUUAGACAUCUUAACUUGGUAUUAAAGAAAUUGAGGGAGCAUCAGUUGUAUGCCAAGUUUAGCAAAUGUCAGUUUUGGUUGAAUCAGGUGGCAUUUUUGGGACAUGUAGUAUCGGCACAAGGAAUUCAAGUAGAUCCUCAAAAGAUUGCAGCAGUGGAGAAUUGGGAACAACCACGAACCGUCACAGAAGUACGGAGUUUUCUUGGUCUAGCAGGUUAUUAUUGACGGUUUGUUCAAGAUUUUUCUAUGAUUGCUUUGCCACUAACGAAAUUAACCAGGAAGGAUGUUAAGUUCGAGUGGGACGAAAAUUGUGAGCAAAGUUUCCAGCAGCUAAAAUAUUGCCUCACUCAUGUCCAGUAUCGGUACUUCCUGAUGAUAGCGGUAACUUUGAGAUUUACAGUGAUGCUUCUUUGAAUGGUUUGGGAUGUGUUUUGAUGCAGCAUAAUAGAGUGAUCGCCUAUGCUUCUCGACAAUUGAAAAUUCAUGAAAGGAAUUAUCCUACCCACGAUCUUGAGUUGGCAGCCAUUGUCUUUGCUUUGAAGAUUUGGAGACAUUAUCUUUACGGUGAGAAGUGUAAGAUCUUCACAUGUCAUAAGAGUCUUCAGUAUCUUUUUACUCAGCAUGAUCUUAAUCUUCGUCAGCGAAGGUGGAUGGAGUUACUAAGUGAUUAUGACUGCACUAUUGAGUAUCAUCCGGAUCGUGCAAAUGUGGUAGCUGAUGCACUGAGUAGGAAACCUCAAGGUCGACUCAAUGCUUUGUAUGCUUGCCGUGUUCCUCUUCUUGCAGAUUUGAGAGCUACUGGAGUAAAGUUGGAGUUAGAAGAACGAAGAUAAGCUUUUCUUGCUAGUUUUCAAGUCAGGCCAGUUUUAGUCGAUCGUGUACUUGAAGCUCAGAUGGUUGAUGAAGAGAUUCAAGAAAUGAUUCAAUUGAGAAAUGAAGGGAAAAAGAAAGACCUCAGGAUUCGAGAAUCAGAUGGCAUGCUUAUGCAGGAGAACAUUAUGUAUAUGUCGAAUAAUGAGGAAUUAAAGAAGGAAAUUUUGAAUGAAGCACAUUGUUCAGCUUAUGCGAUGCAUCCAGGAGGGACUAAGAUGUAUCAUACCAUUUGACCAUUUUAUUAUUAGCCGGGUAUGAAAAGGGAAAUUGCAGAAUAUGUAAGUAGGUGUAUUGUUUGCCAACAAGUCAAAGCAGAAAGAAAGAAGCCUUUUGGGCGGAUGCAACCACUCCCAGUUCCUUAGUGGAAAUGGGAAAAUAUAACUAUGGAUUUUGUAUAUAAGCUUCCACGUACACAGAAUGGAUUUGAUGGCGUUUGGGUGAUUGUAGAUCGACUUACCAAGUCAGCACACUUCAUUCCAGUGAGGGAAAAGUAUCCCCUGAAUAAAUUGGCUAAGUUGUUCAUCACGAAGAUUGUGAAGUAUCAUGAGGUUCCAGUGAAUAUUAUUUCUGAUCGAGAUCCAAGAUUUACUUCUAAGUUUUGGGUAGCUUUUCAGGAAGCUCUAGGUACGAAACUACUUUACAGCAUUGCUUAUCAUCCUCAAACCAAUGGACAAUCAGAGAGGACUAUUCAGACAUUAGAGGAUAUGUUGAGAUCUUCAAUGUUACAGUUUGGUGAUUCUUGGCAUGAUCGCCUAAACUUGAUGGAAUUUGCCUACAAUAAUAGUUUUCAUUCGAGCAUUGGUAUGUCACCAUUUGAGGCACUUUAUGGUAGAGCUUGUCAUACGCCAUUGUGUUGGUCAGAGUUGGCGAAAGAGUGCUAGAGGGCCCAAAAAUUGUGGAUGAGACUACUCAAAAUGUUCAGGUGAUUAAGUCUAACUUGAAAGCGGCCCAAGAUCGACAAAAGAGUUUAGCAAAUAGACAUGCUACUGAUCGAGUAUAUGACGUGGGUAAUUUGGUAUUCUUGAAAUUGUCACCUUGGAGAGGUGUAGUGAGGUUUGGAAAGAAAGGCAAGCUAAGUCCUAGGUAUAUAAGACCUUAUGAGAUCACUGAAAGGAUUGGUGAAGUUGCUUACAGAUUGGAGUUGCCUCCGGAGUUAUCUAAGGUACAUAAUGUGUUUCAUGUCUCGAUGCUUUGACAUUAUGUUUCAGAUCCCUCACAUGUGAUUCCUCCUCAACCUUUGGAGAUUAAUCUGGAUUUGACAUAUGAUGAGGAACCAGUGACUAUCUUGGAUUGGAAAUACAAGGUUCUAAGGAAUAAGACAGUGAGCUUGGUAAAAGUAUUGUGGAGGAACCACUCGGUAGAAGAAACUACUUGAGAGACAGAAGAUCGAAUGAGAGAGAUGUAUCCAAGGUUAUUUUAUGAGUAUUAGUGGAUUGAGCGUUGUAUGAAUUUCGAGGAUGAAAUUCUAUAAGGAGGGGAGAUUGUCACAACCCGUCCCAAAAAAUUCAGUUAUCGUGGGUGUGAAAUGACAGAAUUGCCCUUAGCGGUUGCUAAGGUAUGUGUGACAUAUUAUUUGAAUAGUGCAUACUUUUCUAAGUUUUGGAAAUUUAAUUGGAUUAAAAUUGUAUGCAUUAUGUAGUUAGGGACUUAGGUGGACCAUAUACCCUCACCAUUAGACUCAUCUCUCUCUCCUAUCCCGUGCUCUCUCUCUUCCCUCUCAGUUUCUCUCUCUCUCUCUCGAAUUGUACGGACAAGAACCCAAAAUCCCUCAAAACAUCACGGAUCGACGCCAGUAAGGUGAGUUUCUUCAUCCUUGCAACCUCCUGAGUUGAAUGGUACCAUUUUUAGAACUUAGAACCUUCGAAAUCACAUGAAAUCCGAACCCCAGUUUGAUGUCACUGUUCAUGCACACGUGAAUUGUUGACUUUCAGGGAAUUCUAAGCUUACAUGGAGCUUAGUGAGGUCCCAAGGAAGCUCAGAGUGUUUGGUUUGAAGGUUUUGGAUGUCGGGAUGGCCGAGUUCGAAGUUGGCCGGUUUUCUUGGAAUUUCUCCGGUGAGAUUUCGUAUGUUUUUGAACCUUAAACUAGUACAACGUGAUUCUUCAUGCUUAGGGCUUCAUUUUGAUAUAAAAUGCGUGAAAAAUGGUUGAGAAAUGACGGAGAACAAGGAGAUUGAAAAAUCUCCAGUUUUCCGGCGACUGGAGGAAGAAGGUGACGCGCGUG
This 9042-nucleotide long non-coding RNA is filed under the name Malus domestica (apple). RNAcentral's name for it is "long non-coding RNA (MDOM_LNC015861)". Lineage: Eukaryota; Viridiplantae; Streptophyta; Magnoliopsida; Rosales; Rosaceae. The record is from RNAcentral.